RNAcentral lists this ribosomal RNA (406 nucleotides) under uncultured bacterium. Its description in RNAcentral is "partial 16S ribosomal RNA". It matches the Rfam family "Bacterial small subunit ribosomal RNA", at positions 30 to 526 of the family's 1533-position model. The record is from RNAcentral.
AUUGAACGCUGGCGGCAGGCCUAACACAUGCAAGUCGAACGAGUGGCGGACGGGUGAGUAAUGUUUGGGAAAUUGCCUGAUGGAGGGGGAUACCUACUGGAAACGGUAGCUAAUCCCGGUUACCAUCAGAUGGGCCCAGAUGGGAUUAGUUAGUUGGUGGGGUAACGGCGCACCAAGGCGACGAUCCCUAGCUGGUCUGAGAGGAUGACCAGCCACACUGGCGAUGAGACACGGUCCAGAAUCCUACGGGGGGCAGGAGUGGGGAAUAUUUGACAAUGGGCGCAAGCCUGAUGCAGGCCUGCCGCGGGUAUGAAAAAGGCCUUCGGGGUGUAAAGUUCUUUCAGCGGGGAGGCGUUACCCUAAGAAGAAGGACCGGCUUACUCCGUGCCAGCAGCCGCGGUAAUAC